GAUGAAGAACGUAGCGAAAUGCGAUAAGUAAUGUGAAUUGCAGAAUUCAGUGAAUCAUCGAAUCUUUGAACGCACAUUGCGCCCGCCAGUAUUCUGGCGGGCAUGCCAGUUCGAGCGUCAUUUCAACCAUCAAGCCCCCGGCUUGUGUUGGGGACCUGCGGCUGCCGCAGGCCCUGAAAAGCAGUGGCGGGCUCGCUGUCACACCGAGCGUAGUAGCAUACAUCUCGCUCUGGGCGUGCUGCGGGUUCCGGCCGUUAAACCACCUUCAUAACCCAAGGUUGACCUCGGAUCAGGUAGGAAGACCCGCUGAACUUAAGCAUAUCAAUAAGCGGAGGA
Molecule: unclassified non-coding RNA, 336 nt
Filed under: soil metagenome
Description: partial contains 5.8S ribosomal RNA, internal transcribed spacer 2, and large subunit ribosomal RNA
Rfam family: 5.8S ribosomal RNA (bases 1-120)
Source: RNAcentral